Molecule: ribosomal RNA, 159 nt
Filed under: uncultured bacterium
Lineage: Bacteria
Description: partial 16S ribosomal RNA
Rfam family: Bacterial small subunit ribosomal RNA
Source: RNAcentral
UGAGGAAUAUUGGUCAAUGGGCGAGAGCCUGAACCAGCCCAAGUCGCGUGAGGGAAGACGGUCCUAUGGAUUGUAAACCUCUUUUUGCCGGGGAGCAAAGAGCGGCACGUGUGCCGCGCCGAGAGUACCCGGAGAAAAAGCAUCGGCUAACUCCGUGCC